This 329-nucleotide ribosomal RNA is filed under the name Teyl sp. MYG356. RNAcentral's name for it is "partial 12S ribosomal RNA". The record is from RNAcentral. Lineage: Eukaryota; Metazoa; Arthropoda; Arachnida; Araneae; Anamidae.
UCUAAAAAUAAAAAGGUAAUACCCUCGGGGAAACCCUCAUUCAUUGACGGCCUCUUUUCUAGUCAAAGGAACUUGUUAAUACAUCGAAAUUACCCGUUUAUUUUCCCUUCCCUCUAAAGCUUUUAUACCGUCGUCUUAAGAAAAAACUUAAUAGUAAUCUCCGAAAUUAAUUUAUCAAACAAGUCAGAUCAAGGUGAAGCCCAUAGGCAAGCACUUAGUGAGUUAUUCAUAAAAAAAAUUUAAGGAAAUUUAUACAAAUCUUUCAAUGAAUCAAGAUUUGAAAGUACAUUUUUAUUAAAAAUUCUAGUGGAAUUAGGAAAAAGAGGUGU